CCAGACUCCUACGGGAGGCAGCAGUGAGGAAUAUUGGUCAAUGGGCGCGAGCCUGAACCAGCCAAGUAGCGUGAAGGAUGACUGCCCUACGGGUUGUAAACUUCUUUUAUAAAGGAAUAAAGUGAGGCACGUGUGCCUUUUUGUAUGUACUUUAUGAAUAAGGAUCGGCUAACUCCGUGCCAGCAGCCGCGGUAAUACGGAGGAUCCGAGCGUUAUCCGGAUUUAUUGGGUUUAAAGGGUGCGUAGGCGGGAUGCCAAGUCAGCGGUAAAAAUGCGGUGCUCAACGCCGUCGAGCCGUUGAAACUGGCGUUCUUGAGUGGGCGAGAAGUAUGCGGAAUGCGUGGUGCAGCGGUGAAAUGCAUAGAUAUCACGCAGAACCCCGAUUGCGAAGGCAGCAUGCCGGCUUCCGACUGACGCUGAAGCACGAAAGCGUGGGGAUCGAACAGGAUUAGAUACCCCGGUA
Molecule: ribosomal RNA, 463 nt
Filed under: uncultured bacterium
Lineage: Bacteria
Description: bacterial SSU rRNA
Rfam family: Bacterial small subunit ribosomal RNA
Source: RNAcentral